CUACGGGGCGCACCAGUGGGGAAUAUUGCACAAUGGAGGAAACUCUGAUGCAGCAACGCCGCGUGGAGGAUGACACUUUUCGGAGCGUAAACUCCUUUUAUAUAGGAAGAAGAUGACGGUACUAUAUGAAUAAGCGCCGGCUAACUCCGUGCCAGCAGCCGCGGUAAUACGGAGGGCGCAAGCGUUACUCGGAAUCACUGGGCGUAAAGAGCGUGUAGGCGGAUUAAAAAGUCAGAAGUGAAAUCCUAUAGCUUAACUAUAGAACUGCUUCUGAAACUCUUAAUCUAGAAUAUGGGAGAGGUAGAUGGAAUUUCUGGUGUAGGGGUAAAAUCCGUAGAGAUCAGGAGGAAUACCGAUUGCGAAGGCGAUCUACUAGAACAUUAUUGACGCUGAGACGCGAAAGCGUGGGGAGCAAACAGGAUUAGAUACCCUCGUAGUC
RNAcentral lists this ribosomal RNA (439 nucleotides) under uncultured bacterium. RNAcentral describes it as "partial 16S ribosomal RNA". It matches the Rfam family "Bacterial small subunit ribosomal RNA", at positions 339 to 795 of the family's 1533-position model. The record is from RNAcentral.